RNAcentral lists this long non-coding RNA (712 nucleotides) under Homo sapiens (human). RNAcentral describes it as "long non-coding RNA NONHSAT208372.1". Lineage: Eukaryota; Metazoa; Chordata; Mammalia; Primates; Hominidae. The record is from RNAcentral.
UCAGCCUCCCGAGUAGCUGGGACUACAAGGUGCCUGCCACAAUGCCCAGCUAAUUUUUUGUAUUUUUUAGUACAGACGGGGUUUCACUGUUAGCCAGGAUGGUCUCAAUCUCUUGACCUCGUGAUCUGCCCAGCUCGGCCUCUCAAAGUGCUGGGAUUACAGGCGUGAUAUUCUCCCCUUCUUAUAAGGACACCACUUACACUGACUGAAGGACCCAACCUACUUCAGUAUCUUACUCAUGUUAACUUGAUUAUGUCUCUAAAGGCUCUGUUUCCAAAUGAGGUCACAUUCACAGGUACCAGGGGUUAGGACUUUGCUAUGGCUUGAAUGUUUAUGUCUCCCCCAAAAUUCAUGCUAGAACUUAAACCCCAACAUGAUAGUAUUAAGAGGUGCUGCCUUCGGGAGGUGAUUAAGUCAUGAGGGCAAAACCCUUGUGAGUGGGAUUAGUGACCUUAUAAAAGGGCAACUAGCUUGACCUUUUUUUUUUUUUUUUUUUUUUUUUUUUUGCCCUUCUGUCCCUCCUGCUAUGUGAGGAUGCAGCACUUUUUCCCUCUGGAGGAAGCAGCUUUCACCUUGGAAGAAUCUUGACCUUGCCAUUCAAAGUCACCAGACAGGGAAUCUGCCAGUGCCUUGAUCUUAGACUUCCCAGCUUCUGUAACUGUGAGCAAUAAAUGUAUGCUGCUUAUAAACUAUCCAGUCUCAUGCAUUUUGU